Molecule: long non-coding RNA, 527 nt
Filed under: Heterocephalus glaber (naked mole-rat)
Lineage: Eukaryota; Metazoa; Chordata; Mammalia; Rodentia; Bathyergidae
Description: lncRNA (ENSHGLG00100043516.1)
Source: RNAcentral
AUUAAGACCAGAAGGAAGUGAGAAAAUGAAUAAUGCAAACAUUUGGGGAAAGAGCACUCUAGGCAGAGGAGGCAACUGCAAAGGCCACUGUUGUGGGUAUAAUUGUGUUCUCCUGAAAGACACAGAAACAGAGACACAUGGGAGAAUGCCAUGUGAUGACAGAGGAGAGACUGAAAUGGUACAGCCACAAGCUCAGGAAUGCCAAGAAUUGAGAGCCACCACCAGAAGCUAGGAAGAGGUUAUCACACUUUUUAUUGCUGCAUCGUUUCAACCUCAUGCUUAAGCAAUCCUAAAGGGCAAGAAAAUGAACCCACUAAACAUUUAUGCUUCAAAAUCACCAUAUGAGAUGGAAACUACUCUCCUUGCCUUAGAAAGGAAAGAACUAAGGCUCAGACAAGAUCAUAUGGUUAAUAAAUAGGAAGACGAAGAAUGGAACCAGGUUGUUGGCCUCCAAAUCUGGUGUCUCACUGUUGUACUUCAACUGACUCACAGUUUCUUCAAGCCUUUGUUAUUCUACAAAAAUACAG